Molecule: ribosomal RNA, 157 nt
Filed under: Trichomonas stableri
Lineage: Eukaryota; Parabasalia; Trichomonadida; Trichomonadidae
Description: 5.8S ribosomal RNA
Rfam family: 5.8S ribosomal RNA
About the family: 5.8S ribosomal RNA (5.8S rRNA) is a component of the large subunit of the eukaryotic ribosome. It is transcribed by RNA polymerase I as part of the 45S precursor that also contains 18S and 28S rRNA.
Source: RNAcentral
UCUCUAAGCAAUGGAUGUCUUGGCUCCUCACACGAUGAAGAACGUGGCAUAAUGUGUUAAGUAACCGGAGUUGCAAACAUCAUGACAGGUUAAUCUUUGAAUGCAAAUUGCGCUAAACUCGACUUCGGUCGAGAAGCAUGGGUGUGACAGUACUACA